RNAcentral lists this transfer RNA (74 nucleotides) under Nocardioidaceae bacterium. RNAcentral's name for it is "tRNA-Leu". It matches the Rfam family "tRNA". Rfam says of the family: Transfer RNA (tRNA) molecules are approximately 80 nucleotides in length. Their secondary structure includes four short double-helical elements and three loops (D, anti-codon, and T loops). The record is from RNAcentral. Lineage: Bacteria; Bacillati; Actinomycetota; Actinomycetes; Propionibacteriales; Nocardioidaceae.
GCCCCCGUAUCCCAAUCGGCAGAGGACGCACCCUUAAAAGGCGCUCAGUGUGGGUUCGAGUCCCACCGGGGGCA